Molecule: ribosomal RNA, 305 nt
Filed under: uncultured bacterium
Lineage: Bacteria
Description: bacterial SSU rRNA
Rfam family: Bacterial small subunit ribosomal RNA
Source: RNAcentral
GACGAACGCUGGCGGCGUGCCUAACACAUGCAAGUCGAACGGGGUGAUAUCCUUCGGGAGAUCACUUAGUGGCGAACGGGUGAGUAACGCGUGAGAAACCUGCCUUUCAGUGGGGGACAACAGUUGGAAACGACUGCUAAUACCGCAUAAUGUAUUUAGGGCAUCCCUGAAAUACCAAAGCUUUAUGUGCUGAAAGAUGGUCUCGCGUCUGAUUAGCUAGAUGGCGGGUAACGGCCCACCAUGGCGACGAUCAGUAGCCGGUCUGAGAGGAUGAACGGCCACAUUGGGACUGAGAUACGGCCCAG